CAUGCUUGUUGAUAUUUAGGAACGCAAUAAGGAAUUGGUCCACAAGCGCACGGAUAUCAGUGAGCACUUCACCUGGGAGGUUAUCCAGAGUAUCGUAUUUAUAUUUUUACCACUAGGAGAAAGAGUGCAUCUGACUAACACGGAUAUCGAUGUGAGCGAUGUAUAGAGAAGACUACAACUGUAAUCUCUUUCUAACCUUGGUAAGGAUAAUCUACUGUUCUAUUGGGGAGGCCCACGAAAUCUAGACACCACAGAGGAUGUUCAACCCGCACCUAUAAACCCUAUCGAUCCUACUAACGGGAUAUGGUCUGC
RNAcentral lists this long non-coding RNA (312 nucleotides) under Sorghum bicolor (sorghum). Its description in RNAcentral is "long non-coding RNA (SBIC_LNC016228)". The record is from RNAcentral. Lineage: Eukaryota; Viridiplantae; Streptophyta; Magnoliopsida; Poales; Poaceae.